Molecule: ribosomal RNA, 152 nt
Filed under: uncultured Methylovirgula sp.
Lineage: Bacteria; Pseudomonadati; Pseudomonadota; Alphaproteobacteria; Hyphomicrobiales; Beijerinckiaceae
Description: partial 16S ribosomal RNA
Rfam family: Bacterial small subunit ribosomal RNA
Source: RNAcentral
GCGCCUGCCUGAAUCGCAGCCUGAUCCAGCCUGCCGCGUGAGUGAUGAGGCCUUAGGGUUGUAAAGCUCUUUUACCCGGGAAGAAAAUGACGGUACCGGGAGAAUAAGCCCCGGCUAACUCCGUGCCAGCAGCCGCGGUAAUAGCCAGCAUC